ACACGGACACAACAUUGACUCUGGGGAGGUAGUUCUCGCCUCAAUUCGCUCAUGCAAAGGGCCUGGAACCCACCGGAGGGGCGUGGCGAACAUUCCCCCGGAAGCUCUGGGGUAGGGGGAUGAUGGAAACGAGGCUGGAAGGAAAAUGUUGGGGAGCUUGGUGGAGUCUGGGUUUAGGGCUAGCCCAGGAGGGAACGAGCCUGAACUUCAGGGGUGAGGUGGGCUGUUAGGACCUUCUGGGGUGGAGAAAUGAUUUCGCAGAAGCCCUCUAGACUAAAUAAAACUCAGGAAAUAUCUGCUUUCCCUGAGGUAACCAGACAGAAUAGGAGAGUAAACAGGAUGGGGAUCGGGGAAAGAGAGGAAUAGAUUUUUAGGAUUUCUAAGAAUGAAUUUAUCAUUUCCAUUUGUGAAUUGCAGUUUCUUUCAGGGACAUCGAGCGAGGCAGGUGUUCCACCCCACUUUCUUGUUUGAGGGGAGAAGGAAACCAAAGCCAGUAGAAAUGGAAUUUAUGGCCUCCGUGCUCUCAGAGGGUGGAAAAAAAUUCUCACUCAUCAGCCUAAAGAGAAACCCUGUCUUAUCCCAGAUUACCACCAUGGGAUUUAAAAUUCAGGAUAUGAAGUGGCCUUGUUGAUGGAUUGGAUGACUGCUCGAGGCAGGAGGUCUGGCUUUCCCUCCAUGAACUAGGAGCGGCCUCAGGAAUCACAUGAACAUGUUAGAUGUGCACUUUUCGAGGCCAUGGCUGGAUCUUAGAUUCAUUCUGUGACUUUACCUGAGGCUCAGUCCUGACAGCCAAUGGACUCCAUCAAUGAUUGAUUAAAGCAUAAUGUUCCAUGACUAUCAAGACAGCAGCUCGAGAGCAUCUGUAGCAAAUGAAAACAACUGUUUUUGGCAGAAAUUGUCCUGUAUCCAAAUGGACAAAGCUGAAUAACUGUAUGUGGAUGAUUAUAUCAGUUCUGCUGUGUGGAGCCAGGAGCCACCGAAUUGUGGAGGUUCAUGUGGAUGGAAUGCGCACCUGACGUACUAACUUGAUCCUGACAUUCCAAUAUAAUCCCCUAUUCUCUAAAGGGAAAAACUAGUGUAUUUGUUAGAGACGUAAUGGAACUGUAGAGAGUACAUUCAAUCAGCUACGUAAACUGUGAAACAAAUGUCAGGUUUUCCUGGGUUCUGCCAUUGUGGUCUGUAAAAGAAGAAGUCUGAAUGGCAGGGACUGCAAUGGAAAGGAUGCACACGUAUUAGACAAAAAACUCUUAGGAGGGGAAAACUAUGAAAUGGUUCUUAGUACUGGUAGGUGGGGAUUUGGAACAGGGCCAUGUGUGUUCAUGCGUGUCCAUAUGUGUCUAUUUCAAAGAUGGCACGAUGGAAUAUAAAAUAAGGAUUGUGUGUGUCUUGUCAUGGAGACAACCACUGUGGAGAGACAAGCAGAACCAUCCAGUGGGUGACCCUGGGUUCCUGGGGAUGAGCGGGUUGGGUCCACUGUCUUCCUGUCCCCCAGCACGGGGUGCUGCAUGGCAGUUCAACCUACCACAGGGUCCCCUGCUGCAAUGGCCCUGGGCAGCUAGUGUUUCCAGCUGAGAUACAACUUCUCUGAGCAGUUGCUGUUCCAGCUUAGACUGUUUCUGCCCCACUUUCAGGGUUGAUGUCAUGAGCCCAAUGCAAGGGGGCGCUGCAGAGGGGAGCACGACAUUGACUAUUACCAUCAUCUCCUAACUGGCUUGCCGGCUGUGUAUUUAAAGAUGUUUUUGUGUGUGCGUUGAAGACAGACUGGAAGGC
RNAcentral lists this long non-coding RNA (1770 nucleotides) under Homo sapiens (human). RNAcentral's name for it is "HSALNT0340388". Lineage: Eukaryota; Metazoa; Chordata; Mammalia; Primates; Hominidae. The record is from RNAcentral.